RNAcentral lists this ribosomal RNA (468 nucleotides) under uncultured bacterium. Its description in RNAcentral is "partial 16S ribosomal RNA". It matches the Rfam family "Bacterial small subunit ribosomal RNA", at positions 28 to 507 of the family's 1533-position model. The record is from RNAcentral.
GACGAACGCUGGCGGCGUGCUUAACACAUGCAAGUCGAACGGAAAGGCCCUGCUUUUGUGGGGUGCUCGAGUGGCGAACGGGUGAGUAACACGUGAGUAACCUGCCCUUGACUUUGGGAUAACUUCAGGAAACUGGGGCUAAUACCGGAUAGGAGCUCCUGCUGCAUGGUGGGGGUUGGAAAGUUUCGGCGGUUGGGGAUGGACUCGCGGCUUAUCAGCCUGUUGGUGGGGUAGUGGCUUACCAAGGCUUUGACGGGUAGCCGGCCUGAGAGGGUGACCGGCCACAUUGGGACUGAGAUACGGCGCAGACUCCAACGGGAGGCAGAAGUGGGGAAUAUUGCACAAUGGGCGGAAGCCUGAUGCAGCAACGCCGCGUGCGGGAUGACGGCCUUCGGGUUGUAAACCGCUUUCGCCUGUGACGAAGCGUGAGUGACGGUAAUGGGUAAAGAAGCACCGGCUAACUACGUG